RNAcentral lists this ribosomal RNA (435 nucleotides) under uncultured bacterium. RNAcentral's name for it is "partial 16S ribosomal RNA". It matches the Rfam family "Bacterial small subunit ribosomal RNA", at positions 28 to 507 of the family's 1533-position model. The record is from RNAcentral.
GAUGAACGCUGGCGGUAUGCUUAACACAUGCAAGUCGAACGGACUCUUCGGAGUUAGUGGCGGACGGGUGAGUAACGCGUGAGAAUCUGGCCUUGGGUUCGGGACAACCACUGGAAACGGUGGCUAAUACCGGAUGUGCCGAGAGGUAAAAGAGAAAUUGCCUGCAGAUGAGCUCGCGUCUGAUUAGCUAGUUGGUGAGGUAAAGGCUCACCAAGGCAGCGAUCAGUAGCUGGUCUGAGAGGAUGACCAGCCACACGGGGACUGAGACACGGCCCAGACUCCUGCGAGAGGCAGCAGUGGGGAAUUGUCCGCAAGGGGGGAGAGCCUGACGGAGCAAUACCGCGUGAGGGAAGAAGGCUCUUGGGUUGUAAACCUCUUGUCUUAGGGAAGAACAAAAUGACGGUACCUAAGAAAUCAGCAUCGGCUAACUCCGUG